Molecule: ribosomal RNA, 668 nt
Filed under: uncultured bacterium
Lineage: Bacteria
Description: bacterial SSU rRNA
Rfam family: Bacterial small subunit ribosomal RNA
Source: RNAcentral
UCGAGCGGGCCGCAAGGCCAGUGGCGGAAGGGUGAGUAAGGCGAAGGUAACCAACCCCGCGGGUGGGCAUAGCCGAGGGAAACUUCGGGUAAUUCCCAGCGAUGUGAUCGGCUCGGCAUCGAGCUAUCACCAAAGAUUUAUCGCCGUGGGACGGGCCUUUGUGGUAUUAGCUUGUUGGCGGGGUGACGGCCCACCAAGGCUGCGAUGCCUACCGGGCGUGCGAGCGUGGCCCGGCACACUGGGACUGAGACACUGCCCAGACUCCUACGGGAGGCUGCAGUCGAGAAUCUUCGGCAAUGGGCGCAAGCCUGACCGAGCGACGCCGCGUGGAGGAUGAAGGCCUUCGGGUUGUAAACUCCUGUCGAGGGGGAGGAAGGCGCAAGCUUGACCGAUCCCUGGAGGAAGCACGGGCUAAGUUCGUGCCAGCAGCCGCGGUAAGACGAACCGUGCGAACGUUAUUCGGAAUCACUGGGCUUAAAGCGCGUGUAGGCGGGCCGCCACGUCGGCUGCUGAAAUCCCCCGGCUCAACCGGGGAACGGGCACCGAUACGAGUGGCCUCGAGGGGGGUAGGGGGACCUGGAACUUCCGGUGGAGCGGUGAAAUGCGUUGAGAUCGGAAGGAACGCCCGUGGCGAAAGCGAGGUCCUGGACCCUUUCUGACGCUGAGAC